This 756-nucleotide ribosomal RNA is filed under the name uncultured bacterium. RNAcentral's name for it is "bacterial SSU rRNA". It matches the Rfam family "Bacterial small subunit ribosomal RNA", at positions 8 to 796 of the family's 1533-position model. The record is from RNAcentral.
AGAGUUUGAUCCUGGCUCAGAAUCAACGCUGGCGGCGUGCCUAACACAUGCAAGUCGAACGAGAAAGUGGAGCAAUCCAUGAGUAAAGUGGCGCACGGGUGAGUAACACGUGACUAACCUACCCUGGAGUGGGGGAUAACUGAGGGAAACCUUAGCUAAUACCGCAUAAUACCCACGGGUCAAAGGAGCAAUUCGCUUCAGGAGGGGGUCGCGGCCGAUUAGUUAGUUGGCGGGGUAAUGGCCCACCAAGACUGUGAUCGGUAUCCGGCCUGAGAGGGCGCACGGACACACUGGAACUGAAACACGGUCCAGACUCCUACGGGAGGCAGCAGUGGGGAAUUUUGCGCAAUGGGGGAAACCCUGACGCAGCAACGCCGCGUGGAGGAUGAAGUCCUUCGGGACGUAAACUCCUUUCGAUCGGGACGAUAAUGACGGUACCGGAAGAAGAAGCCCCGGCUAACUUCGUGCCAGCAGCCGCGGUAAUACGAGGGGGGCGAGCGUUGUUCGGAAUUAUUGGGCGUAAAGGGUGCGUAGGCGGUUUUGUAAGUCUUAUGUGAAAUCUAUGGGCUCAACUCAUAGACUGCAUGAGAAACUGCAGGGCUUGAGUGUGGGAGAGGUGAGUGGAAUUUCCGGUGUAGCGGUGAAAUGCGUAGAUAUCGGAAGGAACACCUGUGGCGAAAGUGGCUCACUGGACCACAACUGACGCUGAUGCACGAAAGCUAGGGGAGCAAACAGGAUUAGAUACCCUAGUAGUCC